RNAcentral lists this long non-coding RNA (538 nucleotides) under Pan troglodytes (chimpanzee). RNAcentral's name for it is "long non-coding RNA NONPTRT011317". The record is from RNAcentral. Lineage: Eukaryota; Metazoa; Chordata; Mammalia; Primates; Hominidae.
GCUCUCCUUAACCAGAAAUAUGCUAGAAAGGGAAAUCUGGGAAAUAUAGUUCAACCUAGCCAAGUUAAUACAUCACAAAGUCAUUGCAUAUGCACUGAAAGGGAAUCGUAGUGUAGGCUUUGGCAAAGACAAUGGUAAACCAAUUCCCUGACCUUAGAUAAUUUAGAAUAAGCUGAGGGAAAUAACCAUUAAAGGAGUGAUAACAAAUAUGAUGAAUGUCAAAAAAGAGGGCCAUAAAGUCUGCUACAAAAACUUGCAACUAGGAGAAUUAGGAGGUCAGCAAAGGAGUUAUCACUGAAGAGAUGAUGUUUCCAUUAAAACUUGAGAAUUGAUUAGUAAUUAGCCAUUGGGAGUAGAGAUUGGAGUGAGAGGUGUGAGGGCAUUUUCCAGGUAUAGAAGAUGUGAACAUUUCAAGGACAAGAAGAGAGUGGCUGGAAGCACAGUCUGAAAGGAAAAUCAGACCUGUAAAGUAGGGGUAGCAUUAGAUGAGGCUGAGUGGGGAGACCAUCCCUCAGCACCCCCAUCUCCCUGGUGUCUG